CUGGACGGAAGACUGACCGCCUCAGGUGCGAAAGCGUGGGGAGCAAACAAGGAUUAGAUAACCCUGGUAGUCCACGCCGUAAACGAUGUCGACUUGGAGGCUGUGCCCUUGAGGCGUGGCUUCCCGGAGCUAACGCGUUAAGUCGACCGCCUGGGGGAGUACGGCCGCAAAGGUUAAAACUCAAAUGAAUUGACGGGGGCCCGCACAAGCGGUGGAGCAUGUGGUUUAAUUCGAUGCAACGCGGAGAACCUUACCUACUCUUGACAUCCAGCGAACUUUCCAGAGAUGGAUUGGUGCCUUCGGGAACGCUGAGACAGGUGCUGCAUGGCUGUCGUCAGCUCGUGUUGUGAAAUGUUGGGUUAAGUCCCGCAACGAGCGCAACCCUUAUCCUUUGUUGCCAGCGAUUCGGUCGGGAACUCAAAGGAGACUGCCGGUGAUAAACCGGAGGAAGGUGGGGAUGACGUCAAGUCAUCAUGGCCCUUACGAGUAGGGCUACACACGUGCUACAAUGGCGCAUACAAAGAGAAGCGACCUCGCGAGAGCAAGCGGACCUCACAAAAUGCGUCGUAGUCCGGAUCGGAGUCUGCAACUCGACUCCGUGAAGUCGGAAUCGCUUGUAAUCGUGGAUCAGAAUGCCACCGUGAAUACGUU
This 651-nucleotide ribosomal RNA is filed under the name Pantoea brenneri. RNAcentral's name for it is "bacterial SSU rRNA". It matches the Rfam family "Bacterial small subunit ribosomal RNA", at positions 729 to 1372 of the family's 1533-position model. The record is from RNAcentral. Lineage: Bacteria; Pseudomonadati; Pseudomonadota; Gammaproteobacteria; Enterobacterales; Erwiniaceae.